RNAcentral lists this ribosomal RNA (460 nucleotides) under uncultured bacterium. RNAcentral describes it as "partial 16S ribosomal RNA". It matches the Rfam family "Bacterial small subunit ribosomal RNA", at positions 338 to 795 of the family's 1533-position model. The record is from RNAcentral.
CCUACGGGAGACAGCAGUGAGGAAUAUUGGUCAAUGGACGAGAGUCUGAACCAGCCAAGUAGCGUGAAGGAUGACUGCCCUAUGGGUUGUAAACUUCUUUUAUAUGGGAAUAAAAUGUUCCACGUGUGGGAUUUUGUAUGUACCAUAUGAAUAAGGAUCGGCUAACUCCGUGCCAGCAGCCGAGGUAAUACGGAGGAUCCGAGCGUUAUCCGGAUUUAUUGGGUUUAAAGGGAGCGUCGGUGGAUUGUUAAGUCAGGUGUGAAAGUUUGCGGCUCAACCGUAAAAUUGCAGUUGAAACUGGCAGUCUUGAGUACAGUAGAGGUGGGCGGAAUUCGUGGUGUAGCGGUGAAAUGCUUAGAUAUCACGAAGAACUCCGAUUGCGAAGGCAGUUCACUGGACUGCAACUGACACUGAGGCUCGAAAGUGUGGGUAUCAAACAGGAUUAGAUACCCGAGUAGUC